RNAcentral lists this long non-coding RNA (304 nucleotides) under Rattus norvegicus (Norway rat). Its description in RNAcentral is "long non-coding RNA NONRATT000666". The record is from RNAcentral. Lineage: Eukaryota; Metazoa; Chordata; Mammalia; Rodentia; Muridae.
CCUUCACACAUGAGGACACUGUGCCUGAGGAGUCUGAGGAUGAGGAUGAGGUCGAGGAGGGGCAGUUGCAGCCCCCGGAGGUGAGGGCGGGACCUCGAGCCCAGGGAUGUUGGGCCAGGAAGGAUGGAAAGGGACCAGUUUCAUGCCACAGAGGCCAGACUCGACCCGCAGGUCUCAGAACUCUGGGGGCUCUGAUUCAGCCAAGAUCCUUCCAGAUCACCAAAGGACCAGAAAUCAAGCCAGCUCAGCUCAGAGCCAGAGAGAUGGAUUUUUAAACUUAAUAAAGAUCAGGCUCUUAAGAACU